UGAAAAAGUGGGCUGUGCAGGAAAAUGGGGAGGAGGCCAAACAUCGGGGGAAAUAGGGAGAAUGGGAGGCUGAGGGGGAACAAUGAGAGCCUGAGUCUGAGUCUGAAUAGGAUGUGGGUGAACAGGAGCCGGGAGAAUGGGAGGCUGAGGGGGAACAGGAGCCGGGAGAAUGGGAGGCUGAGGGGGAACAAUGAGAGUCUGAGGUACCGAAUGAUAUGGGUGAACAUGCUGUCCAGAUGGCUGUCCAGAUGGCUCGGCAUGAGGCUGAAAUGAAGCUAAUGUCUGAGGUACCGAAUGAUAUGGGUGAACAUGCUGUCCAGAUGGCUGUCCAGAUGGCUCGGCAUGAGGCUGAAAUGAAGCUAAUGUCUGAGGUACCGAAUGAUAUGGGUGAACAUGCUGUCCAGAUGGCUGUACAGAUGACUCGGCAUAAGGCGGAGCUAUGGUCUGAGGUACCGAAUGAUAUGGGUGAACAUGCUGUCCAGAUAGCUCGACAGGAGGCUGCAAUGGCGGUGUCGUCUGUGAUCCCGAUACAGGAAUAACGUCUGCCAGCUGUAAAAAUCCAAAUAUGAAGUAAAUUUGCAUGGGUGAGCAAAC
RNAcentral lists this long non-coding RNA (594 nucleotides) under Salvia miltiorrhiza (redroot sage). RNAcentral's name for it is "long non-coding RNA (SMIL_LNC000422)". Lineage: Eukaryota; Viridiplantae; Streptophyta; Magnoliopsida; Lamiales; Lamiaceae. The record is from RNAcentral.